This is a transfer RNA of Pan troglodytes (chimpanzee), 72 nucleotides long. It matches the Rfam family "tRNA". Rfam says of the family: Transfer RNA (tRNA) molecules are approximately 80 nucleotides in length. Lineage: Eukaryota; Metazoa; Chordata; Mammalia; Primates; Hominidae. The record is from Rfam.
GGUUCCAUGGUGUAAUGAUGAGGGCUUUGGACUCUGACUACAGUGAUCAGAGUUCAAGUCUCAGUGGGACCU